RNAcentral lists this small nucleolar RNA (121 nucleotides) under Echinops telfairi (small Madagascar hedgehog). RNAcentral describes it as "Small nucleolar RNA SNORA61 (ENSETEG00000026051.1)". Lineage: Eukaryota; Metazoa; Chordata; Mammalia; Afrosoricida; Tenrecidae. The record is from RNAcentral.
AGCCUCCAGAUUCCUUACGCUUCUGAUCUACAUAUCGGUCUGAGUGGCUGAAAAAGGAGGAAAAGUAAAGUGGAAGUGGACUUGGACUCUUCAGAGACAGACGAGUUCAUUUCAAACAUAA